CCCGACUGCUAUUUGGGUGAGGAUAAGCCAUGCGAGUUGAAUGGGAAACCUAAAGUUCCCAUGGCAAACUGCUCAGUAACACAUGAUCAACUUACCCUAUAGAGAAAAAUAACCUCGGGAAACUGAGGAUAAUGUUUCAUAGUUGAAUUGGCUUGGAAAAGUUUUUCGACGAAAGGGGUAAAAAAAUGGUUUUUAUCUGCUAUAGGAUAGGAUCGUGUUCGAUUAUGGUUGUUGGUGAGGUAAUGGCUCACCAAGCCGAUAAUCGAUAGGGGCCGUGAGAGCGGGAGCCCCGAGAUGGGUACUGAGACAACGACCCAGGCCUUACGAGGCGCAGCAGGCGCGAAACCUCCGCAAUACACGAAAGUGUGACGGGGUUACCCAAAGUGUUCAAUUUUGAACUGUGGUAGGUGAGUAAUGUUCCCUACUAGAAAGGAGAGGGCAAGGCUGGUGCCAGCCGCCGCGGUAAAACCAGCUCUUCAAGUGGUCGGGAUAAUAUUGGGCUUAAAGUGUCCGUAGCCGGUUUGGUAAGUUCCUGGUAAAAUCGGGUAGCUUAACUAUCUAUAUGCUAGGAAUACUACUAUACUAGAGGGCGGGAGAGGUCUGAGGUACUAUAGGGGUAGGGGUGAAAUCUUAUAAUCCUUGUUGGACCACCAGUGGCGAAGGCGUCAGACUGGAACGCGCCUGACGGUGUGGGACGAAAGCCAGGGGAGCGAACCGGAUUAGAUACCCGGGUAGUCCUGGCCGUAAACGAUGCAUACUAGGUGAUGGCACGGCCAUGAGCCGUGUCAGUGCCGUAGGGAAACCGUUAAGUGUGCCGCCUGGGAAGUACGGUCGCAAGGCUAAAACUUAAAGGAAUUGGCGGGGGAGCACCACAAGGGGUGAAGCCUGCGGUUCA
This 895-nucleotide ribosomal RNA is filed under the name uncultured archaeon. RNAcentral describes it as "bacterial SSU rRNA". It matches the Rfam family "Archaeal small subunit ribosomal RNA", at positions 21 to 904 of the family's 1478-position model. The record is from RNAcentral.